GCGCUCUUAGUUCAGUUUGGUAGAACGUUGGCUUUCAGUAUGCCAUGGCGUAGGUUCAAAUCCUACAGAGCGUG
Molecule: transfer RNA, 74 nt
Filed under: Daucus carota subsp. sativus
Lineage: Eukaryota; Viridiplantae; Streptophyta; Magnoliopsida; Apiales; Apiaceae
Rfam family: tRNA
About the family: Transfer RNA (tRNA) molecules are approximately 80 nucleotides in length. Their secondary structure includes four short double-helical elements and three loops (D, anti-codon, and T loops).
Source: Rfam by way of RNAcentral